RNAcentral lists this ribosomal RNA (253 nucleotides) under uncultured bacterium. RNAcentral describes it as "partial 16S ribosomal RNA". It matches the Rfam family "Bacterial small subunit ribosomal RNA", at positions 524 to 776 of the family's 1533-position model. The record is from RNAcentral.
GACGUAGGGCGCGAGCGUUGUCCGGAUUUAUUGGGCGUAAAGAGCGCGUAGGCGGCGCGGUAAGCGUGCGGUGAAAGCCCGGGGCUCAACCCCGGGUCGGCCGUGCGGACUGCCGGGCUGGAGCACUGUAGAGGCAGGUGGAAUUCCGGGUGUAGCGGUGGAAUGCGUAGAGAUCCGGAAGAACACCGGUGGCGAAGGCGGCCUGCUGGGCAGUAGCUGACGCUGAGGAGCGAAAGUGUGGGGAGCGAACAGG